Molecule: ribosomal RNA, 503 nt
Filed under: uncultured bacterium
Lineage: Bacteria
Description: partial 16S ribosomal RNA
Rfam family: Bacterial small subunit ribosomal RNA
Source: RNAcentral
AUUGAACGCUGGCGGCAGGCUUAACACAUGCAAGUCGAGCGGGGUGAUGGUGCUUGCACUAUCACUUAGCGGCGGACGGGUGAGUAAUGCUUAGGAAUCUGCCUAUUAGUGGGGGACAACAUCUCGAAAGGGAUGCUAAUACCGCAUACGUCCUACGGGAGAAAGCAGGGGAUCACUUGUGACCUUGCGCUAAUAGAUGAGCCUAAGUCGGAUUAGCUAGUUGGUGGGGUAAAGGCCUACCAAGGCGACGAUCUGUAGCGGGUCUGAGAGGAUGAUCCGCCACACUGGGACUGAGACACGGGCCAGACUCCUACGGGAGGCAGCAGUGGGGAAUAUUGGACAAUGGGGGGAACCCUGAUCCAGCCAUGCCGCGUGUGUGAAGAAGGCCUUAUGGUUGUAAAGCACUUUAAGCGAGGAGGAGGCUCUUUUGGUUAAUACCCAAGAUGAGUGGACGUUACUCGCAGAAUAAGCACCGGCUAACUCUGUACCAGCCGCCGCCGCAG